CCACUCAAGCACUGCUUGGUAUUGGGCACUCGUCCGCCGAAAGGCGGGCGUGCCUCGAAGACCUCGGCGGGGUUUCACCAACUUCGGGCGUAGUAGAGUUAAAUCGAACGUCUUAUAAGCUUGAUGGGACCUCAUUGCCGUUAAACCUUUUAUUUUUUCAGGUUGACCUCGGAUCAGGUAGGGAUACCCGCUGAACUUAA
Molecule: unclassified non-coding RNA, 200 nt
Filed under: soil metagenome
Description: partial contains internal transcribed spacer 2 and large subunit ribosomal RNA
Source: RNAcentral